This 536-nucleotide ribosomal RNA is filed under the name Bifidobacterium longum subsp. infantis. RNAcentral's name for it is "bacterial SSU rRNA". It matches the Rfam family "Bacterial small subunit ribosomal RNA", at positions 160 to 710 of the family's 1533-position model. RNAcentral also lists the same sequence under 1 other name. The record is from RNAcentral. Lineage: Bacteria; Bacillati; Actinomycetota; Actinomycetes; Bifidobacteriales; Bifidobacteriaceae.
GUGGUAAUGCCGGAUGCUCCAGUUGAUCGCAUGGUCUUCUGGGAAAGCUUUCGCGGUAUGGGAUGGGGUCGCGUCCUAUCAGCUUGACGGCGGGGUAACGGCCCACCGUGGCUUCGACGGGUAGCCGGCCUGAGAGGGCGACCGGCCACAUUGGGACUGAGAUACGGCCCAGACUCCUACGGGAGGCAGCAGUGGGGAAUAUUGCACAAUGGGCGCAAGCCUGAUGCAGCGACGCCGCGUGAGGGAUGGAGGCCUUCGGGUUGUAAACCUCUUUUAUCGGGGAGCAAGCGAGAGUGAGUUUACCCGUUGAAUAAGCACCGGCUAACUACGUGCCAGCAGCCGCGGUAAUACGUAGGGUGCAAGCGUUAUCCGGAAUUAUUGGGCGUAAAGGGCUCGUAGGCGGUUCGUCGCGUCCGGUGUGAAAGUCCAUCGCUUAACGGUGGAUCCGCGCCGGGUACGGGCGGGCUUGAGUGCGGUAGGGGAGACUGGAAUUCCCGGUGUAACGGUGGAAUGUGUAGAUAUCGGGAAAGAACACC